GAGUUUGAUCAUGGCUCAGAUUGAACGCUGGCGGCAGGCCUAACACAUGCAAGUCGAACGGUAACAGGAAACAGCUUGCUGUUUCGCUGACGAGUGGCGGACGGGUGAGUAAUGUCUGGGAAACUGCCUGAUGGAGGGGGAUAACUACUGGAAACGGUAGCUAAUACCGCAUAACGUCGCAAGACCAAAGAGGGGGACCUUCGGGCCUCUUGCCAUCAGAUGUGCCCAGAUGGGAUUAGCUAGUAGGUGGGGUAACGGCUCACCUAGGCGACGAUCCCUAGCUGGUCUGAGAGGAUGACCAGCCACACUGGAACUGAGACACGGUCCAGACUCCUACGGGAGGCAGCAGUGGGGAAUAUUGCACAAUGGGCGCAAGCCUGAUGCAGCCAUGCCGCGUGUAUGAAGAAGGCCUUCGGGUUGUAAAGUACUUUCAGCGGGGAGGAAGGGAGUAAAGUUAAUACCUUUGCUCAUUGACGUUACCCGCAGAAGAAGCACCGGCUAACUCCGUGCCAGCAGCCGCGGUAAUACGGAGGGUGCAAGCGUUAAUCGGAAUUACUGGGCGUAAAGCGCGCGCAGGCGGUUUGUUAAGUCAGAUGUGAAAUCCCCGGGCUCAACCUGGGAACUGCAUCUGAUACUGGCAAGCUUGAGUCUCGUAGAGGGGGGUAGAAUUCCAGGUGUAGCGGUGAAAUGCGUAGAGAUCUGGAGGAAUACCGGUGGCGAAGGCGGCCCCCUGGACGAAGACUGACGCUCAGGUGCGAAAGCGUGGGGAGCAAACAGGAUUAGAUACCCUGGUAGUCCACGCCGUAAACGAUGUCGACUUGGAGGUUGUGCCCUUGAGGCGUGGCUUCCGGAGCUAACGCGUUAAGUCGACCGCCUGGGGAGUACGGCCGCAAGGUUAAAACUCAAAUGAAUUGACGGGGGCCCGCACAAGCGGUGGAGCAUGUGGUUUAAUUCGAUGCAACGCGAAGAACCUUACCUGGUCUUGACAUCCACGGAAGUUUUCAGAGAUGAGAAUGUGCCUUCGGGAACCGUGAGACAGGUGCUGCAUGGCUGUCGUCAGCUCGUGUUGUGAAAUGUUGGGUUAAGUCCCGCAACGAGCGCAACCCUUAUCCUUUGUUGCCAGCGGUCCGGCCGGGAACUCAAAGGAGACUGCCAGUGAUAAACUGGAGGAAGGUGGGGAUGACGUCAAGUCAUCAUGGCCCUUACGACCAGGGCUACACACGUGCUACAAUGGCGCAUACAAAGAGAAGCGACCUCGCGAGAGCAAGCGGACCUCAUAAAGUGCGUCGUAGUCCGGAUUGGAGUCUGCAACUCGACUCCAUGAAGUCGGAAUCGCUAGUAAUCGUGGAUCAGAAUGCCACGGUGAAUACGUUCCCGGGCCUUGUACACACCGCCCGUCACACCAUGGGAGUGGGUUGCAAAAGAAGUAGGUAGCUUAACCUUCGGGAGGGCGCUUACCACUUUGUGAUUCAUGACUGGGGUGAAGUCGAAACAAGGUAACCGUAGGGGAACCUGCGGUUG
This 1521-nucleotide ribosomal RNA is filed under the name metagenome. Its description in RNAcentral is "bacterial SSU rRNA". It matches the Rfam family "Bacterial small subunit ribosomal RNA". The record is from RNAcentral.